UGUAUGUAAGUUUGGUAGUCUGUGUAAGGGACGUUAACACUGUAUGUAAAACAAAGAUCUACUGUAUGUGUAAGAGAAUAUUAUUAUAUGUAAGCGUAAUAAAUAGUGUAUGUGAAUGCAAAUAAUCAUGUUUAUGGAACAGAAUGAUAGUGAAUGUAAGACAGAAUGAUAGUGCAUGUGAAUAAGAAUAGUUGUAUGUGUGAGAGAGUUUGAUGGUGUGUGUGUGAGAGUAUGAUAGUGUGUGUGUGAGAGUAUGAUAGUGUGUGUGAGAGAGUUUGAUUGAUACGGAAACGAGUUUGAUUGAAACGGAAGUAAUAUUAAAUUCUCAGUACCUGAUUGGUAGAAGACGCGGGAUUUCACAGACAUGUCCCGCCUUCCUCAUUAUUACUGAUAGGAGAGGAUAGUGGACCGAGAGAGAAUCAAUGGAGCAUCAGCCUGUUAACAUUUUAAACUUUUCCACCGCUGCCACAUCCAUGUCAGAAAUGUGGAUUUAAACCCGACAGCCCGACAGGAGUCUAAACGCGGCCGCGGAGGAAGAGAUGCGGUGAAGCUUUAUAUCCGAACCAUCAGCCGAGUGCUGCGAGCUCCAUAUCAGCCUCAACCACAGAGAGCAGCGGCUCCAGAGUCAGGGGACAGUAUUGAACUUUUGAUGGCAUGAGGAAACAAACUGGUUUCACCAAAGUUGCACGAGGGCCAGAAACUAAAUGGCUUCAUGAUUGACAAUACAUUUACAUCAAAGGCAGUGUACAUUGGACAAUGACACAUUUACGUUUGUCACCACAGAUUUAGAGGACAGUGGUGUGGAGGUUGACACGACAACAGCAUCUAGUGACCACAGAAGUACCACACCAGUCAAUGUAUGACUACAAGGACUAAGGAUACCUUAAUCCACCUGAGUGACAGAUUAUUUGCUGUUGAGACUGUUCUGAAAUAUUUGGUUUCUGCAUGCAACAAUAAAUAAGAAACAUUUGUUUGCUUGGGACAAGAUCUUUGUUAACCAGUAUAAUAGUGAUUUCCUGACCUGUCCAUAACUUGAUAAUAAAUAUCUAAAUAUUA
Long non-coding RNA from Trichomycterus rosablanca, 1056 nucleotides. RefSeq lists it as uncharacterized. The record is from RefSeq and is a predicted model, not a curated record. The transcript is spliced from 3 exons. Lineage: Eukaryota; Metazoa; Chordata; Actinopteri; Siluriformes; Trichomycteridae.